RNAcentral lists this ribosomal RNA (495 nucleotides) under uncultured bacterium. RNAcentral describes it as "partial 16S ribosomal RNA". It matches the Rfam family "Bacterial small subunit ribosomal RNA", at positions 28 to 507 of the family's 1533-position model. The record is from RNAcentral.
GACGAACGCUGGCGGCGUGCCUAAUACAUGCAAGUAGAACGCUGAAGGAGGAGCUUGCUUCUCUGGAUGAGUUGCGAACGGGUGAGUAACGCGUAGGUAACCUGCCUGGUAGCGGGGGAUAACUAUUGGAAACGAUAGCUAAUACCGCAUAAUAGUAGAUGUUGCAUGACAUUUGCUUAAAAGGUGCAAUUGCAUCACUACCAGAUGGACCUGCGUUGUAUUAGCUAGUUGGUGGGGUAACGGCUCACCAAGGCGACGAUACAUAGCCGACCUGAGAGGGUGAUCGGCCACACUGGGACUGAGACACGGCCCAGACCCCUACGGGAGGCAGCAGUAGGGAAUCUUCGGCAAUGGACGGAAGUCUGACCGAGCAACGCCGCGUGAGUGAAGAAGGGUUUCGGAUCGUAAAGCUCUGUUGUAAGAGAAGAACGAGUGUGAGAGUGGAAAGUUCACACUGUGACGGUAUCUGACCAGAAAGGGACGGCUAACUACGUG